Molecule: ribosomal RNA, 98 nt
Filed under: Mucronella aff. calva KHL10317
Lineage: Eukaryota; Fungi; Basidiomycota; Agaricomycetes; Agaricales
Description: partial 5.8S ribosomal RNA
Rfam family: 5.8S ribosomal RNA
About the family: 5.8S ribosomal RNA (5.8S rRNA) is a component of the large subunit of the eukaryotic ribosome. It is transcribed by RNA polymerase I as part of the 45S precursor that also contains 18S and 28S rRNA.
Source: RNAcentral
AUAUGUAAUGUGNUUGCAGAAUUCAGUGAAUCAUCGAAUCUUUGAACGCAUCUUGCGCCCUUWGGUAUUCCGAGGGGCAUGCCUGUUUGAGUGUCAUU